This 5449-nucleotide long non-coding RNA is filed under the name Solanum tuberosum (potato). RNAcentral describes it as "long non-coding RNA (STUB_LNC009446)". Lineage: Eukaryota; Viridiplantae; Streptophyta; Magnoliopsida; Solanales; Solanaceae. The record is from RNAcentral.
CUCACCCGGGUGGGCCUGCGAUUUUGGACCAAGUUGAAUUAAAGUUGGGCCUAAAGCAAGAGAAACUUAGGGCUACAAGAGAAGUAUUGAGUAACUAUGGCAAUAUGUCAAGUGCUUGUGUGUUGUUUAUUUUGGAUGAAAUGAGAAAGGCCUCUACAAAAGAAGGCCUAGGAACUACAGGUGAAGGGCUUGAAUGGGGUGUCCUUUUUGGAUUUGGGCCUGGGCUUACAGUUGAGACUGUUGUUCUUCACAGUGUUGCUACUUAGUGGGUUGGGCUUAUAUUGUGGGCCUCUAAAAUUUGUUUGCUAUUAAUGUAUUUGCUAUGUUUUGUUAUUUAAUAUUUAUGUUAUCUUUGCGAAUAAAGAUAUUUGUAAUGAGAACUAUGUAAUCAAAUACCUAAUAAAUUUCUGUCUAAUUUUAAUUUUCAUUUAAUUUGCAUAAUUAUCACUUUAAUUUCACCUUCUCACAAUCGUAAAACUGGUUAAAAUGAUUCCACUAUUCCUGAAAAAUAUUCUCAUUCAAAUGAAUUUUAAUUCUUUAAAAGUUUGAACAAGCGAAUUAUGAUAAUAUAUAAACCGAAGAAAUAAGCUUCCCUAUACAUCACUUUUAUUUUCCAAUAUAUUUUGUGUGAAAAACCAAGGAAAGACAAGCUUGUAGUUAUAUAAUUUCUAUUUUUAUUUUAUAGGUAUAAGUUGCGUUCGGUAUGAAUAAAAAUGUUUUCUUAAAAAAAUUGUGUUUUUUUAAAUAUAUUUUCUUAUGCUUGAUAUUUAAAUAAAAAGUAAUAUUCUAAAAAUAUUUGUAUAUUAUCUAAGGUUGUGGUAAGAGAAAGGUGGGCAUGGGAUGAAGAAAACAUUAUCUGAAAUAUCACCUGUGAAACUUAUGGUCGAAGUCAUUUUUCUCAUUUCUAAAAUACGUGUUUUCUUAGAAAAAUAUAUUUAAUUUUUUAAAUUAAUCUAACAUGAAAAAAUUUAAAAAUAUUUUCCACAAUACAAAAUACACACAUUUAUUUGGGAAAGAAAUUAGAUGAUUACCAUAAUCUUUAAUAUCAAAUGAUUUUGUAAUUAAAUUACUUUUAUUCUCGAACUAUUGAAAGUCUUAAAAACACUCAUUUAUACUUGACUAACUGAACUUAAAUACACUCUGAUCUAAUGACAUGAGUGAAAAUAUACCCCUAAAAUACUUUAGGAUUAUUUUCAAUACUUCUCUCGGCUUUUAUUAAGAGUCCCGUGCUCUACAAGAGUUUGAAAAUUGCUAUGUCAUGUGACAAAUCGAGGGUAUAUCAAAGUUUAGUUAGUUAAGUAGAAAGAUAUUUUUAAGAAUGUCAAUAGUUCGAAACGAACCUAAUGAUUUGCGUCAAGUUUAAAGGUAUUACUUAUCUCUUUAUUAAAUUUCAUUCCGUUCAUGUACCAAAUAUUUCUUUUGGUCCAUCUCUAUUUGGUAAAUUUUAAUUUAUGUGAUAUCUGACUAAGCAUUAAUUAAUUUUCAAUUCCUUAAAAUGUGCAGUUGCGAUCCCUUUACUUGGGAAUAUAUUCUCAGAUUUUGUAAUUAAUCAUGUACUAUAAAAAUGUGUAUAUAUUGUUAUUUCAUAUAUGUGGGUAAUUAAUGUAGUUCUAAAAAAAUAAUUUUAAUUUAACAUAUUCCUUACAUAUAUGGAUUUAAAACAUACAUUUUGAUUAAGUUAAGAUUAAAUAUGUUGAAUCUAUGAGGACCAAAAUUAAAACCUGUUAAUAAUUAAAGAAUCAAAAGUACUAUUAUCCUUUAAAAAUAAAUAGCUAUCCGAUUUUGAAACUCUUCAAUCAAUACUUUCAAUACGUUAAAAAUUUAAACUCGGAAAAAACUUAAAUUUUGUUAUAUUGAUCAUACAUCAAUUCUUUAUAAUCAAUACAUUUACAAAUGUAAACUCGAGAACUAUCUGAUUUUGUCAUAUUAAUUAUACAUCAAUUCAUUACAAUCAAUACGUUUAAAAUUUAAAUUUAAAAACUUUGAUUCUGUCAUAUUGAUCAUACAUCAAAUCAUUACAACCAAUACGUUCAAAAUUUAAACUCAAAAACUCUAGUUCUGUCAUAUAUCAAUUCAUUGCAUUCCUGUAUCUAACACAAAAUGUAUAUGUAUGACACUCGACUGCAUUUAUUGUUUUUGACACUUUGUGUGACGAGUUGGAAUUGCAAAAAAAAAAAACACAUCUAAUUAAAUGUUAGUGUAAAUAUAAAUAUUACUACUUAAUUUGGCAAGGACAAACUCACGUGUUCAAAAUUUCUUUUAAAAAAUUAAAAGCUAAACAACAAAAAUUUAUAACAAUUUCAUUUGGCUAUGAAUUAAUGAUGACUUAUAAACAAAUUCACUUAGCUAGAAGCUUUUCAGAUGAAUUAGCUAGGGAUUAUCGAUAAAUUUCGUAUCUAAUUCUAUAUUUUCUUGUAGUGAUUAUAGGGAGGUAUAUUUGAUUCUCCAAAGAGUAUUAAUAGGGUUUAAAAUUGAGAUAUAGGCGGCAUGAGCGAUUCUUUGAAGCCCCUUCGUCAAAAAAUUAUAUCGUAUAGUGUAACUCCACAAGUAAGGUUUAGGGAAGAUAGAGUGUACACGACCUUAUCCCUAUCUCAUGAAGGUAGAGAUCAAACUACUUAAAAAAAAAACUCGACUCAUUUAAAUCAUAUAGUAUAUAUAGAAUUAAAAUUAUUUUUUAUGUAUAUAUAUAAUAUAUAUUUCGUAUCUCAUUUUAAUUAAACUCUUGAUAUAGUUACGUCUCAAAUUACUCUUGUCCAAAGCCCAAGGCUGUCAACACCAUUCUUUCUUUUGGAUUUCACAUAUAAAUAAAUGACAAGUUUAUACUACUCCAUGAAAAGAAAAAACGUUACACUACUACACACCCUAAAAAAAACCUAGCAUAUUAUCCACUAUUUUUUCUGGCGAAAAUGGUCACCGUUGAGGAGUAUCGUAAGGCGCAACGUGCCAAGGGUCCGGCUACGGUCAUGGCCAUUGGAACAUCUACGCCUUUCAAUUGUGUUGAUCAGAGUACUUACCCUGAUUAUUAUUUUCGUAUUACUAAUAGUGAGCACAAGACUGAGCUCAAGGAAAAAUUUAAGCGCAUGUGUAAGAUAACUCCUUAUCUUAUUAAAAGAAAAACUCCUCACCUUAUUGUUUUUAUGUGUUUGUUACAUUUUAUGUUAAGUUGUUAAUAUUUGUUUGGUUCGAAUAACUUUUCAUUGAAUAUGAUUUUCUUGAACUUUUUAAUAUUUUUAAAAUUAUUAACCUGCUGAAAUAUAAUACUUUUUAUAUAGAAGUUAGGUACUCUAUAUUGACUAUAUCCUGUGUAAUUUUUUCCUUAACUAGUUGAAUACAAUUAGAGGUAUAUCCAGGAUUUUACGAUGAUGAGUGCACUAUUACGAGAAGGUGGAUCUAAGAUAUAAAUUUGAUCGAUUUGACAUUUAGGUUCUUGUCACUAAAAAUAAUUAAAAUUAUGGGAAUUUCGCACAAAUCUCAUAGUGUUAAGAGCUAAUUACAUCUUAUCUCUACUCUUUUCCAAAUUACAAAAAAUUCUUAAAAUUGAUAGAAUCCGAAUACAUCCUAGAACGUAUCGAUACAUCGCGUCUCGAUUUCGAAUAUAUCCCUCAUCCUAGUACAUCUCAUGUCAGUUUCGGAUACAACACUCGACAUCACGAUACAUCGCGUACGUCCUAAUACAUCACGCAAAGUGAUGUAUCCGAUCGACACAUCGUGUGAAGUGAUGUAUCCAACCAAUACAUUGCAUAAAGUAAUGUAUCCGAGAUUAGGAGAGAGUAGGGAUUUUUGUUAAUUUUCAAAUGGUAGGAAAUUUUAGAGAAUAUGGUAAAACAAGUUGUGUAUUUAGGUAAUUUUUCCUAAACUUAUUGGUCCGAAAUUAAUUCUUAACUAUUCAAAUAGUGUAUAUUAUAUGAGAUCGAAUGAACCAUUAAUUGUAUGUUAUAUCAUAUCCAGUACCACUAGUUUUAAUAUACACAUUUGGCUUAAUUAUAUAAAAAUAUUAGAUUGCUAAAAAGAAUAGGAAUUUUCAAUGUGAUAAACUUGAUUUUUUUUUGAAAAUUUUGAAAGAUUAAACCCCUCUCUCUCUCUCUCUAUAUAUAUAUAUAUAUAUAUAUAUAUAUAUAUAUAUAAAGUGCUAUCAAUAAUCACUUAAAGAGGUGUUACCCCAAUUUUAGAAUUCAAAUAAAACAAGAUAGACAUAAAAUUCUAAUUUAGAAUGGUGCACUCAAUCACCAGUUCAUUAUAUGAUACUUCAAGUACUGUAGAUUCAUACGUCUAUAUUUAAAAUAUAAUAGUACUAUAUACGAUUUCGAAAGGAGAGCAUGGUUCACGUGAACCCAGUGACCCCCUCAUACUCCCCUGAGUACAACACAUGUUAAUCUUGCUUAAUGAUUACCAUGGUUGGAAAUUUCAUAUCUUUAUUAUUUUUAAUUUCUUGACAAUUUUUUUCAUAUUUGCAGGUGAUAAAUCAAUGAUUAAAAAAAGAUACAUGCACUUAACCGAGGAAAUCUUGAAAAAGAACCCUAAUAUGUGUGCAUAUAUGUCACCUUCCCUUGAUGCUAGGCAAGACAUAGCUAUUGUUGAAGUGCCUAAACUUGGCAAAGAGGCAGCCCAAAAGGCCAUCAAGGAAUGGGGCCAGCCCAAAUCCAAGAUUACCCAUUUGGUCUUUUGUACAUCUAGUGGUGUGGACAUGCCCGGGUGCGACUACCAGCUCGCUAAGCUACUCGGGCUUUGCCCAUCGGUCAAGCGACUCAUGAUAUACCAACAAGAUUGCUAUGCCGGGGGAACAUUACUCCGGCUAGCCAAAGACAUGGCUGAGAACAACAAAGGUGCUAGAGUCCUUGUUGUUAGCUCUGAGAUCACUGUGGUCAAGUUUCGUGGACCUAGUGAAUCUCACAUAGAUAACUUGUUAGGCCAAGCCCUUUUUGGUGAUGGGGUGGCCGCAGUUAUUAUAGGUUCAGACCCAAAUCUAGGGGUCGAAAGGCCUUUAUUCAAACUCGUCUCAGCAGCUCAAACUCUAGUCCCUGAUAGCGAAGGGGCUAUCUAUGGACACCUCCGUGAGGUUGGGCAUAUAUUCCAUUUACUCAAGGAUGUUCCUGGGCUAAUCUCGAAAAACAUCGAGAAGAGCCUUCUGGAUGCAUUUCAACCUCUAGGUAUAUCUGAUUGGAACUCUCUAUUUUGGAUUACUCACCCAGGUGGACCUGCGAUGUUGGACCAAGUUGAAUUAAAAUUGGGCCUAAAGCCUGAGAAACUUAGGGUUUCAAGAGAAGUAUUGAGUAACUAUGGCAAUAUGUCAAGUGCUUGUGUGUUGUUUAUUUUGGAUGAAAUGAGAAAGGCCUCUACAAAAGAAGGCCUAGGAACUACUGGUGAAGGGCUUGAAUGGGGUGUCCUUUUUGGAUUUGGGCCUGGGCUUACAAUUUAGACUGUUGUUCUUCACAGUGUUGCUACUUAGUGG